This 333-nucleotide unclassified non-coding RNA is filed under the name soil metagenome. RNAcentral's name for it is "partial contains 5.8S ribosomal RNA, internal transcribed spacer 2, and large subunit ribosomal RNA". The stretch from base 1 to 120 matches the Rfam family "5.8S ribosomal RNA", at positions 35 to 154 of the family's 154-position model. The record is from RNAcentral.
GAUGAAGAACGUAGCGAAAUGCGAUACGUAAUGUGAAUUGCAGAAUUCAGUGAAUCAUCGAAUCUUUGAACGCACAUUGCGCCCGCCAGUAUUCUGGCGGGCAUGCCUGUUCGAGCGUCAUUUCAACCAUCAAGCCCCGGGCUUGUGUUGGGGACCUGCGGCUGCCGCAGGCCCUGAAAUGCAGUGGCGGGCUCGCUGUCACUCCGAGCGUAGUAAUACAUCUCGCUCUGGACGUGCUGCGGGUUCCGGCCGUUAAAAGCCUUAUUUACCCAAGGUUGACCUCGGAUCAGGUAGGAAGACCCGCUGAACUUAAGCAUAUCAAUAAGCGGAGGA